RNAcentral lists this ribosomal RNA (515 nucleotides) under uncultured bacterium. RNAcentral describes it as "partial 16S ribosomal RNA". It matches the Rfam family "Bacterial small subunit ribosomal RNA", at positions 28 to 523 of the family's 1533-position model. The record is from RNAcentral.
GAUGAACGCUGGCGGCGUGCCUGAUACAUGCAAGUCGAGCGAAUGGAUUAAGAGCUUGCUCUUAUGAAGUUAGCGGCGGACGGGUGAGUAACACGUGGGUAACCUGCCCAUAAGACUGGGAUAACUCCGGGAAACCGGGGCUAAUACCGGAUAAUAUUUUGAACUGCAUGGUUCCAAAUUGAAAGGCGGCUUCGGCUGUCACUUAUGGAUGGACCCGCGUCGCAUUAGCUAGUUGGUGAGGUAACGGCUCACCAAGGCAACGAUGCGUAGCCGAACUGAGAGGGUGAUCUGCCACACUGGGACUGAGACACGGCCCAGACUCCUACGGGAGGCAGCAGUAGGGAAUCUUCCGCAAUGGACGAAAGUCUGACGGAGCAACGCCGCGUGAGUGACUAAGGCUUUCGGGUCGUAAAACUCUGUUGUUAGGGAAGAACAAGUGCUAGUUGAAUAAGCUGGCACCUUGACGGUACCUAACCAGAAAGCCACGGCUAACUACGUGCCAGCCGCCGCCGUAA